RNAcentral lists this transfer RNA (71 nucleotides) under Candidatus Pacearchaeota archaeon. RNAcentral's name for it is "tRNA-Val". It matches the Rfam family "tRNA". From Rfam's summary of the family: Transfer RNA (tRNA) molecules are approximately 80 nucleotides in length. Their secondary structure includes four short double-helical elements and three loops (D, anti-codon, and T loops). Further hydrogen bonds mediate the characteristic L-shaped molecular structure. tRNAs have two regions of fundamental functional importance: the anti-codon, which is responsible for specific mRNA codon recognition, and the 3' end, to which the tRNAs corresponding amino acid is attached (by aminoacyl-tRNA synthetases). tRNAs cope with the degeneracy of the genetic code in two manners: having more than one tRNA (with a specific anti-codon) for a particular amino acid; and 'wobble' base-pairing, i.e. permitting non-standard base-pairing at the 3rd anti-codon position. Lineage: Archaea; Nanobdellati. The record is from RNAcentral.
GGUCCUGUAGUCCAAUGGUAAGACGCCUCCUUGACGUGGAAGUAACCCAAGUUCAAUUCUUGGCAGGACCA